This is a long non-coding RNA of Carassius carassius (crucian carp), 792 nucleotides long. RefSeq lists it as uncharacterized. Lineage: Eukaryota; Metazoa; Chordata; Actinopteri; Cypriniformes; Cyprinidae. The transcript is spliced from 4 exons. The record is from RefSeq and is a predicted model, not a curated record.
CCACAGUUUUGGAAGGUGUGCUGAGGCACAGGGGGCACCACCACUGAAAAAUUACAUUUUUCUGACUAUUUUCACUUGCUUUUGUCCAGCGUGGCCUAUUAACAUUGUGGCAUUGGUCUUUUCUCUAAUGAUAGUGUUUUUCUGAAAAGUCUCAAAGCAGUUAUGAUGCAGAAGACUAUGAAGGAGCUCAGCGGUUGGGGAGAAAGGCUCUUCACAUGGGAAUCGCUUCCCUAGUCAUUGGCCUUGUGAUCAUAACGGUCUUCUGUGUUGUACACUUCACCACGAAUGCAAUCUGAUAGUGGAGAAUGCAGUUUGACAGGAAGACUCUGUAAAUUGGUGGUGAUCAUUUCCAGUGAACGCCAGAAGACACUGUGAGCUACAGCCAGAACUUGGCGACACUAUGGUGGCACCAUGAGCUUGAACCAUCCCAGGUUUACAAGUAAUCAAUAUUUUCAAAUGGAAUGUGUCUGAUUUGCUCAAAGCAUGGCCAAGUAUCCAAACUACAGAAAAGCUUUCACUUAAAGUCACUUCAUAUUCAUACCAUCUCAAAAUGAUGUUGUUUAUUUCUGCAGGCAGUACAACUGCAUUUGUACAUCUGUAUUUGAUGAGUAUCAUGACACAUCAAGUAUUGUAAAUGUGUAGUUUAGUGGUGUACAUUGUAUUUGUCCUAAAGCAUAAAAGGAUGCUUGCACCCAAAUAGUUGAUGCUUUUACAGAGAGAAAGAGGAAAAAAAUACAAUAAAUAAAACUUGUGUUGUAUGGGUGAAUGUAAAAUUACAGGAAGUAUGAUCAU